This 497-nucleotide ribosomal RNA is filed under the name uncultured bacterium. RNAcentral's name for it is "partial 16S ribosomal RNA". It matches the Rfam family "Bacterial small subunit ribosomal RNA", at positions 29 to 523 of the family's 1533-position model. The record is from RNAcentral.
AGUGAACGCUGGCGGUAGGCCUAACACAUGCAAGUCGAACGGUAACAGGUCUUCGGAUGCUGACGAGUGGCGAACGGGUGAGUAAUACAUCGGAACGUGCCUAGUAGUGGGGGAUAACUACUCGAAAGAGUGGCUAAUACCGCAUGAGAUCUACGGAUGAAGGCAGGGGAUCGCAAGACCUUGUGCUACUAGAGCGGCCGAUGGCAGAUUAGGUAGUUGGUGGGAUAAAAGCUUACCAAGCCGACGAUCUGUAGCUGGUCUGAGAGGACGAUCAGCCACACUGGGCCGGAGACACGGCCAGACUCCUACGGGAGGCAGCAGUGGGGAAUAUUGGACAAUGGGCGCAAGCCUGAUCCAGCAAUGCCGCGUGAAGGAUGAAGGCCUUCGGGUUGUAAACUGCUUUUGUACGGAACGAAAAGCCCUGGGUUAAUACCCUGGGGUCAUGACGGUACCGUAAGAAUAAGCACCGGCUAACUACGUGCCAGCCGCCGCCGUAA